GGUGAUGUUUCCUGUUUUGAUGAAGUCCCUGAGAUGGAACUGGGUGCGGCUUUGGAAUGUUUGGAGCCUGUGAGGCCAGGGCUGAUUGUGGAGGCUGCUGCGAUACCGUAGGUUGGAUUGCAGGAAUCUACAAAGGACAAUCUGUUAGGAUGUAGAGAAAUGCACCAUGUGAAACACGAGAGGACAUAAAACCACAAAGAGUAUUGGCAUACCACUGGAGGAGGUUGCACCAUUCCCAACAUGAUCUGAGCCUGUCCAAAGUAAGGUACAAAGAAAUGAGGAAUAGAAAUAGUCACUGAAAAAUCCAGACACCAUCUUAUAAAUAAACAAACAUAAAUGAAUAAUUCUCAUGGCUGGCCUUGGAUAUCUAACUUAGCCGGGAGAAAUCAUGAUCUAACCUGAGUAGGAUCAAAAUCCAAGUAUGAAGUUCACCA
RNAcentral lists this long non-coding RNA (434 nucleotides) under Linum usitatissimum (flax). RNAcentral's name for it is "long non-coding RNA (LUSI_LNC001820)". The record is from RNAcentral. Lineage: Eukaryota; Viridiplantae; Streptophyta; Magnoliopsida; Malpighiales; Linaceae.